Molecule: ribosomal RNA, 292 nt
Filed under: uncultured bacterium
Lineage: Bacteria
Description: partial 16S ribosomal RNA
Rfam family: Bacterial small subunit ribosomal RNA
Source: RNAcentral
GUGUCAGCCGCCGCGGUAAGACAGAGGUGCCAAGCGUUAGGCGGAAUCACUGGGCUUAAAGCGUGUGUAGGCGGACUGACAAGUACCUUGUGAAAUCCCACGGCUCAACCGUGGAACUGCUUGGUAUACUGUUGGUCUUGAGGCAUCUAGGGGCAACUGGAACAAACGGUGGAGCGGUGAAAUGCGUAGAUAUCGUUUGGAACGCCAAAGGUGAAAACAGGUUGCUGGGGAUGUACUGACGCUGAGACACGAAAGCCAGGGGAGCAAACGGGAUUAGAAACCCCCGUAGUCC